AACUUUUAACAACGGAUCACUUGGUUCUGGCAUCUAUGAAGAACGCAGCGAAAUGCGAUAAGUAAUGUGAAUUGCAGAAUUCAGUGAAUCAUCGAAUCUUUGAACGCACAUUGCGCCCCUUGGUAUUCCGAGGGGCAUGCCUGUUCGAGCGUCAUUUAAACCAAUCCAGCUUGCUGGGUCUUGGGCUUUCGCCUCUGGGCGGGCCUCAAAAUCAGUGGCGGUGCUGCCCAGGCUCUACGCGUAGUAAUUUUUCUCGCUACAGGGUCCUGGUAGAGGCUUGCCAACAACCUCAAAUCUUUCAAAGGUUGACCUCGGAUCAGGUAGGGAUACCCGCUGAACUUAAGCAUAUCAAUAAGCGGAGGCU
Molecule: unclassified non-coding RNA, 364 nt
Filed under: uncultured Hymenoscyphus
Lineage: Eukaryota; Fungi; Ascomycota; Leotiomycetes; Helotiales; Helotiaceae
Description: sequence contains ITS2
Rfam family: 5.8S ribosomal RNA (bases 1-154)
Source: RNAcentral